Molecule: ribosomal RNA, 253 nt
Filed under: uncultured bacterium
Lineage: Bacteria
Description: partial 16S ribosomal RNA
Rfam family: Bacterial small subunit ribosomal RNA
Source: RNAcentral
UACAGAGGUCUCAAGCGUUGUUCGGAUUCAUUGGGCGUAAAGGGUGCGUAGGCGGCGCGGUAAGUCGGGUGUGAAAUCUCGGGGCUUAACUCCGAAACUGCAUUCGAUACUGCCGUGCUUGAGGACUGGAGAGGAGACUGGAAUUCAUGGUGUAGCAGUGAAAUGCGUAGAUAUCGAGAGGAACACCUGCGGCGAAGGCGGGUUGCUGGGCUGACACUGACGCUGAGGCGCGAAAGCCAGGGGAGCGAACGGG